Molecule: long non-coding RNA, 1153 nt
Organism: Scleropages formosus (Asian bonytongue)
Lineage: Eukaryota; Metazoa; Chordata; Actinopteri; Osteoglossiformes; Osteoglossidae
Exons: 4
Source: RefSeq, a predicted model, not a curated record
GGUGAGUAAACAGGAGGGGGAAGGAUGUCAGCAUUUUGGAGCACAUGAGGCUUGCGACAUUCUUGUCACCCCAUCGUAACAGAAACCUAGAGCAACGGCGCCGAAAGGCACCGGCUUCAAUAAGAGUGUCUCCUGGAAGCACCUGCAAAACCUCUUCCAGCAGAUUUCUCUCUCUCUCUCUCUGCUUUUCUCUCUCUCUCUCUCUCUUCUCUCUCUAGGAAUUAAUUUGGCCCACAAUAAUGCUCUUAUUAGGAUUCCGAGGAUGUGGUUCUUUUCCGGCGAAACUUCAUUCGAACCUGCUAAUAAUAAACCUUUCAGCCGUCAUUCAGGGCAAAUGUUGUAAAGCAUUAACCAGGGAGUUUUUAAUCUGAAAGGUGCCAGAGUCGGGAAUGAAAUUUUCUCAACGGUGCUCGGAAGACCCCUGACCUCCGCUCUGCUGGACUCCUGCACGUAAGCGCCAGCUCCCACGUACCCAGGUGUUCUAAUCCAGUCCCCCGAAACACCCACCGCCCCCCCUCACUGCCCUCGGGGGCCAGGAUUACACGCAUACUAUCGCAGAGGAGGAGGUUGCGGGUCGGAUGCCGCUCCCCGCAGCACGUGCAGCUUUACGAGGGGGGGUGAGAGGAGGGUGGCGGUGAACGAGGAGAAACGGAGAUCGCAGCAGACGGACUGGGAGGACACGAGAACGCGGAAACUGGAGCAGCGGGUGGAGGCUGGAUGGACUGCAGGAGCGAAAAGCGCCGGAAAGCCAAAGGUCAUCGGCACGGGAGCCUCGGAGCGGCGUGACGGGAGCAUGGAGGAGCGGCGAUAGAGAUCCCGGUGUUCGGAGCACAAAGACAUGACUGGCACCGAGACUGGGUGGCAGAACAUGUCAGAGGAGGGAGAGAAGGGAGAGGAGAAAGAGGAGCAGCGUGUUAAUAGAGGCAGGCUGUCUCUUCUCUGUCUGCCAUUUCCUUUGUCCAACUUUUCUCCCCUUCAGAUCCUUUCUUGGCCCUGCGGCGCCUCGAUCGAGCUCACUGUCCAGAAACGCACCAGACCCGUCCUUAUGGACGCGAUGAAAGCUGUGAGACAAAGAGUGAAAGAGAAAGACAGGCAGCAAUGUGAGUCUGGAGGGGUGCGGUGUUUUAUUUUGGCAAAAAAAAAAAAAAAAAAA